This 1135-nucleotide long non-coding RNA is filed under the name Vulpes vulpes (red fox). RNAcentral's name for it is "lncRNA (ENSVVUG00000001029.1)". Lineage: Eukaryota; Metazoa; Chordata; Mammalia; Carnivora; Canidae. The record is from RNAcentral.
AGUAGCCUCCCCUUCCUGCACCGGCUCAGUGUGCACCGAAGAACCCAGUGGAAUGUUGACAGUUUCUUUUAGAUGUUGGGACAAACUGUAAUCAUGAAGCUUAGCGCCUGGAGUCUCGGUGCGCCCGGUGGUGGCUUGUAGGCACAAGUCCAGACUUUGUCUCUCUCCUUCCCCAGAUCUUUGCGGUCCAGCGGAACACGUGCAUNAGCGCCUGGAGUCUCGGUGCGCCCGGUGGCUUGUAGGCCCAAGUCCAGACUUUGUCUCUCUCCUUCCCCAUCUCUUUGCGGUCCAGCGGGACACGUGCACGGAAGCUCAGCUUCUGGGGCAGGCCCCUCUGAGCUGGAAGGCUGGAUGCAUCUCUCUGGUUUUUCUGUCUCUGGAGCCAUUGGGGAGCUCAGGGUUUGUCAUGUAUAGUGUCUGUCCCCAGGUUGGUACAGAGACGCUGCCUCCAGGGGAGAAGUUGUCUCUGUCUGGGUAGCAGAGACCCAUUUUGGGCACUUAACAAAAUGGAGAAAAGUGUUGAACAGACCAUUAUUAUUAUUAUUAUUAUUAUUAUUAUUAUUACUUUUUACAUAAAAGACUUUCCCCUGUGCCGUCAUGCAUUCUGGGACUCAGCAACCGAGAGCAGAAAAGUGAAAAAUGGACUGUCUUUUCCCUCCUAGACUCUCUGUUCACUCCAUCGCUGACAGUGAGUUAAAAAUACUUGGCUGGUGAGAAAGGUGAGAAAUGGAUGACUCAGUCCCUCCAAAUAAAGAAUCUGCCGCUGGAACGGAAGGCUGGUCAGAGCCAGCGCGCUGAGGAGUCGUUUUUAGGCCCUGUCCUGCGAGGCGACAUUCAAGAUUACUCCUGCUUCAUCCUGGCUGCCUUACGUGGAGUCUCUGCAGCGCGUGCGAUGUGUGAUGUUGGAAAAGCCAGGCCGUUCCUCUGUGACUCCAUGGGGCCUUCCCUGUGGGUUGCUGCUCUGGCUUGGCCCCUCCAAUGUUCAAGGAUGCUGUGAGGCGCAUUUACCUGCUCUGCGGUCUGGUAGGGAUCGUUUAUUUAUUUCUCCAAGGCUCAUUCCACAAAGGAUUCGAAAGUGACAGGCUUUCGGCUGACACUUUCUUUGGAGCCCCUGUAUGUAAAUGCUAGGGUGCUG